RNAcentral lists this long non-coding RNA (788 nucleotides) under Setaria italica (foxtail millet). RNAcentral describes it as "long non-coding RNA (SITA_LNC004716)". The record is from RNAcentral. Lineage: Eukaryota; Viridiplantae; Streptophyta; Magnoliopsida; Poales; Poaceae.
GCGGGUCUCUACAUACACCAAUGCGUUGAUCGGGAGCUAAGCAAUUGAAGCAGUGUCUGCUAGCCUUUGCCUUGAGCAGUUGAAGCCACUGCCCAACGGUGUGUGGGGAUGCUCUAAGCCUAUCCUAAGCUGGGAUCGCCCUCACACCUAUCCGGUCAUGAAUGCUCUUCUAUCCAGGUCCAAGCAGAGACCAUACCAAAGUAGCCUGCUUGCGCGACGUCCGCCUUCUCUCUUCAUGGAGCCAUACCUGCUUUCUAUGAUUUGACGAGUCCUUGGGGAAUCUUGGCUUGAAGGUCCUUGGCUUCAAGAGUGCAUCCUUGUACGAUACCCGGUGGUUGGUCGGCUUUACCAUGACUGAGGGAAUCCGGCGAGGGGCAGCAGGUGCCGUGUCACCCCCCUAUGCUGUCCCCAGAUUCCUGCUCCCUUCUUUCUGCUACUGCCAGAGCCUUCUCCGUCUUCAAUGCCUGCUCAUUGAUGUGACGAGAGUAUGGGCUGUCCUCCUCUGAAUCCGAGCAGUAGAGUAGGUCGAGGGCCUCCUCCGCAGCGUGCGAAGGAGCCGGUGAAUUUUGGUUGGCUUUGGUGGUAGGUUGCAGGAUGAGGUGACCGAGCAUCGCCGGUUGUGUGGUGGGGUUUGGCUGGGAGGCUACGGUGGAGCUUGGCCUCCGCCAGUGUGGGUUGCUCCGCGGACUCCGCGGUCAUGGCGCUCUUGAGCAAGUUUUGUGUGGCCAAGUUCUCUGAUGUUGUAAUGUGGAGUGCAUGGCAAUGGCAUACAAGAAACAAUUUCAUUU